Molecule: long non-coding RNA, 1351 nt
Organism: Bubalus bubalis (water buffalo)
Lineage: Eukaryota; Metazoa; Chordata; Mammalia; Artiodactyla; Bovidae
Exons: 3
Source: RefSeq, a predicted model, not a curated record
UCUCUGGGUGACUGUGUUCUUCUCUGAGUGGGGUUCCGUGGCCCUCCUGGGGAUCAGUGCUGCGGUCAGGCUCCUAGUCUUUCUCUCCCAGAUUCACCUUCCCUGGGGCUCCUGGAGACCCCUCAGGUGGGCUACCUGGUAAUCAUUCCAAUUUUCCAGCACAUUCAGGUUGAGUAGGGAGGUAGGUUCAUCAGGUGAAUUGGUUCCAGGGCACAGGGAUCGGGCAAAAAGUCAAUGGGCAGCAGGUGAGGCUGCUGCUGUGCUCUCCUUCCAGUCCACUGUCUCCUCCGAAGAGAACAGAGCUGCCCCUCGUCUUUCAGCCCAGCUCUCCCAUGUUUUCUCAACGCCUCAGCGGGACAAGAAAGACAGAGCCUGGCAGAAACAAGUCGAUCAUCCCUCUUCAGCAGAGAGCAGACCUCCCCCUCGUCUCCCAGCCCUGCGUCUGGCGUGUUUUCUCAACACCUCAGUGGGACAAGAAAGGACCGAGCCUGCCAGAACCAAGGGUGAGAGUGAAAUUUACCUGUUUCCACUGGCUUCUUGAAGGGAGAUGAUGGAACCCCCUCUUCACAUCCCCAGGGAAUAGACUUUGGCAACAACUCCUUGAAUAGACAGGCUCCAGAGGUCAGAACAGUAAACUUCCAGAGAGCUAAACCAAGGGUUUCAACAUCCACACCUUUGCCGUUAUUAUGAAAAACCAUCACUCAAAAUGACACAUGAACCCCAAUGCUCACUGCAGUGGUACCUCUAGUUGCCAAGACGCAGACCCAAGACAAGGUCCACAGACUUAAUCUUAAAGAAAUGUGGUACAUAUAUUUAAUGGGCUAUUACUCAUACUUCAAAAACCGCAACUGAAAUUAUGAAUUUAUGCCAAUGGUCCCCACAUGGAUGGACUAUGGAGGAGAAUUCACUAUACGAAGUCAGCAUCAGAUGAAGAAAAUAGCAGAUCACGUCCCUUCUACAGAAAAUGUUAAAAAAAAAAAAAAAAAAGAGGAAGUAAUUUACAAUACAAAGAGACUCUGAGAUUCAAGUACAGGCAAAGGAUUCCAAAAAAGAAGCAAAGGUCCAGGGAUGAAUUAGGAGGUGGGUACUAAUGUACAUACAGAAAUCUGUAUCUCUAAUAGAUAAUCCACAAGGAUUACCUCCUCCUCUCUUUCCUUCCACGUUGACACAUAUAUCUAAGUGGUACUCCUGAUGUUCAGGCCAGGAAACUUUGCUCGAAAUUCUGCAAUAAGCUAUAUGGCAAACAAUUCAAAAAGAACAGAUAUUCUAUAUGUAAAUAUAUACCAUAACUCAAUCAAAUGGCUGUAUACUGCCAAGAACAAAAGGGCAAAUCAACUAUAUUCCCACUUAG